RNA transcript from Hordeum vulgare subsp. vulgare (domesticated barley), 2682 nucleotides. It is a transcript of the gene named probable leucine-rich repeat receptor-like protein kinase At1g35710, with no coding region annotated. The transcript has a single exon. The record is from RefSeq and is a predicted model, not a curated record. NCBI's taxonomy places the organism in Eukaryota, Viridiplantae, Streptophyta, Magnoliopsida, Poales, Poaceae.
AGCAACUCAGCUAGCACACAAGACCUCGUCGCGGAACCGUCUCCAUCUUGGACGUCUGAGUCAAAUAAGCCACUCCACUCGUUCUCAACACCAGACGAUGGCAUUCGCUGCUCGUCCCAAAAAUCGUCGCCAGUCCAUCUCAGCAAUACAAUACGCAGGGAGAAAGGAGCAAAUUACCCCUCGAUUUGCUCAAACAGUAGCGGAUGCCAUGGAAUCCAGAGUGACGAGCACAACCAAAGCUCGUCUCCUCUUGCUCCUGCUACUGGUAUGCACAUGCGGCGGCGCCGUCUCUCCACGAAGCGACACCGAGGCCGAAGCCAGAGCGCUUUUGGCAUGGAAGUCCACUCUCAUGAUCUCCGACGGGAACGCCGCUUCUCCGCUCUCGUCGUGGUCGCCGGCCAGCCCUGCCUGCGGUUCUUGGUCCGGCGUGGCCUGCAACGCGGCCGGCCGUGUCGCCGGGCUGACGAUUCGGGGAGCCGGGGUCGCAGGCACGCUCGACGCCCUGGACUUCUCCGCGUUACCGGCGCUCGCCAGCCUCAACCUCAGCGGCAACCAUCUCGCGGGCGCCAUCCCCGUCAACGUCUCCCUCCUGACAUCGCUUGCCUCGCUCGACCUUUCGAGCAACGACCUCACCGGCGGCAUACCGGCGGCCCUCGGGACGCUGCGCGGCCUGCGAGCUCUUGUUCUGCGCAACAACCCGCUCGGAGGGCGGAUCCCCGGGUCCCUCGCCAAGCUCGCCGCGCUGCGGCGGCUGGACCUGCAGGCCGUGCGGCUCGUCGGCACGAUUCCGACGGGGUUGGGACGCCUGACAGCUCUCAGAUUCUUGGACCUGUCCAGGAACAGCCUCUCCGGCGAGCUGCCACCGUCCUUCGCCGGCAUGACCAAGAUGAAGGAGCUCUACCUGUCAAGAAACAACCUCUCGGGUCUGAUUCCAGCUGAGCUCUUCACCAGCUGGCCUGAGGUAACUCUGUUCUUCCUUCACUACAAUUCGUUCACGGGAGGCAUACCGCCGGAGAUCGGCAAAGCAGCCAAGCUGCGGUUCUUGUCGCUUGAGGCCAACAACCUCACCGGCGUCAUCCCGGCGGAGAUCGGCAGCUUGACUGGCCUCAAGAUGCUCGAUUUGGGGAGGAACUCGCUAUCCGGACCCAUCCCUCCUUCCAUUGGAAACCUGAAGCUGCUUGUCGUCAUGGCUCUGUACUUCAAUGAACUCACCGGCUCGGUGCCCCCUGAAGUCGGUACCAUGUCGUUACUACAAGGCCUCGACCUCAACGAUAACCAGCUGGAGGGUGAGCUGCCUGCAGCGAUUUCAUCGUUCAAGGAUCUGUACAGUGUUGACUUCAGUAACAACAAGUUCACUGGUACAAUCCCAAGCAUAGGCAGUAAGAAAUUGCUCGUGGCUGCCUUUGCCAACAAUAGUUUCUCGGGGAGCUUCCCCCGGACAUUCUGCGACAUCACUUCACUGGAAAUGUUGGAUUUAUCUGGCAACCAACUGUGGGGUGAGCUCCCUAACUGCCUGUGGGACUUCCAGAAUCUAUUGUUCCUUGAUCUGUCUAGCAAUGGUUUCUCCGGGAAGGUUCCGUCAGCUGGAUCCGCUAACUUAUCGUCGUUGGAAUCGUUGCAUUUGGCAGAUAACAGUUUCACAGGUGGGUUCCCAGCUAUAAUACAGAAGUGCAAGCAGCUGAUUGUCCUUGAUAUCGGUGAGAACUACUUUUCCAGCCAAAUUCCAUCAUGGAUAGGUUCAAAACUUCCUUCCCUAAGGAUCCUCCGGCUGCGGUCGAACUUGUUUAGUGGUAGCAUUCCCUUGCAACUAUCACAGCUCUCACAUCUCCAACUACUCGACCUAUCUGCCAACCAUUUUUCAGGUCACAUACCGCAGGGUUUGCUUGCCAAUUUAACAUCCAUGAUGAAGCCACAGACAGAAUUCAACCUGACUUCACUAGUUCACCAUCAAGUUUUAAAUCUAGAUGCUCAGUUAUAUAUUGCCAACCGGAUCGAUGUAAGCUGGAAGAUGAAGAGCUACACAUUCCAAGGAACGAUUGCACUGAUGAUAGGUAUCGACUUAUCAGACAAUUCAUUCUCUGGCGAGAUUCCGACUGAGCUAACGAAUCUCCAGGGCCUCCGGUUUCUGAAUCUGUCUAGAAACCAUUUAUCAGGCCACAUCCCUGGAAACAUUGGUGAUCUCAAACUUUUGGAAUCCCUUGACUGCUCGUGGAAUGAAUUGUCAGGUGCUAUUCCUUCAAGCAUCUCGAAACUGGCGUCUCUUAGUUCGCUCAAUCUCUCCAACAAUAAUCUCUCUGGCGAGAUACCAACUGGGAAUCAGCUCCAAACACUGGACGACCCUUCCAUUUACAACAACAAUUCUGGGCUUUGCGGAUUUCCGUUGAGCGUCGCAUUCGCAUGCUCCAAAGGUUCUCCGGUUACUGUGGAAACACUGGACACAGAACUUGAAACCGUAUAUUUCUACUACUCAAUAAUUGCUGGGCUCGUCCUUGGAUUUUGGUUGUGGUUUGGGUCUCUAGUUUUCUUCGAGGCGUGGAGAACUUUUUUUAUGUGUUGUGUAGAUAGCCUUCAAGAUAAGGUUAUGAAAAGAUGCAGAGCGUUUCGGUAAUGUGUGCCUAUAUAUAGCGUUCUGUACUUGAGUGUAGGAUAUGCAUACAGGAUUUAUAAACGGAAAUUGCGUUU